Molecule: non-coding RNA, 45 nt
Filed under: Schistosoma curassoni
Lineage: Eukaryota; Metazoa; Platyhelminthes; Trematoda; Strigeidida; Schistosomatidae
Source: RNAcentral
AUGCAUCUGAAGAGUCUCAAAUAGAACGGAACACGAGUCCUGAAU